AGGACUAGUAAAGGACCAGGACGAGUAAAGGCCCAGGACUAAUAAAGGCCCAGGACUAAUAAAGGCCCAGGACGAAAAAAGGCCCAGGACUAGUAAAGGCCCAAGCCUAGUAAAGGCAGGAUUAGUAAAGGCAGGACUAGAAAAAGGCUCAGGACUAGUAAAGGCCCAGGACUAGUAAAGGCCCAGGACUAGUAAAGGCCCAGGACUAGUAAAGACCCAGGACUAGUAAAGGCCCAGGACUAGUAAAGACCCAGGACUAGUAAAGGCCCAGGACUAGUAAAGACCCAGGACUAGUAAAGGCCC
Molecule: long non-coding RNA, 303 nt
Organism: Oncorhynchus tshawytscha (Chinook salmon)
Lineage: Eukaryota; Metazoa; Chordata; Actinopteri; Salmoniformes; Salmonidae
Source: Ensembl